AUGAUCCGCAUCCCACAUGACAUCCCAGAAAGGAGCUGGGCAGCGGCCACCCCUGCCGAACGUCAUUUUUUCCCUCCGCUGAAGAAGAGGGGUGGAAUACCCCGUCCCUCCCCUGAGGGAGCUUUGCGAACAGCCGGGCAGAGGCGGCUGCGGAGCCGGAGGUACCCCGUGGUUCCCAGCAUGAUCGGCACCUUCCCAGACGCGGCUUCACUUGGGAUAACCAGCAGAGCAAGGAGGAGAGCAGCGCCUCUGGGAUUAUGCUUUGGAGCAGCAAGGAAACCAGAACCACACAGGAACCACCUGUGCUGAACGUGGGCAGCUCUUCCCACCCUCCUGUUGCUUCUUCUGCCAGCAAAGCUCCAACACAAGGCAGCUGGAUGAACCUUCUGGAAUUCUCCUGGCUCUGGACACCCACUGGUUGUUCUCCAUUGGGGUCACACAUUGUUCUCUGCCCAGGGCUGCUCAAUUCCUGUCUUCUCCAAGGCAUCUUUGCAGGUAACCCAAGCUCUCCUGUGAACAGUGAUUGGGCUGACUCAUAGUCAAGAUGCAGCAGAAAGAAAAAGUCAAAAAAGUACUGUCUGGACACUACUGUAACUAUUUUGGGGCUUACCCACCUGUAAACCUAAAUGUGUCAGGUCUGAGCAGGCAUGGAGAGCAGAUUUGGUUCACAAGGAGAAAUAUAAUGAGAACAGUGUUAGCAACUCUGCCUAUUUUAACAGUUUAGAAAGGUCAUUUCAUUCUUGUACCAGAUUUCCACUCUUCUUCAAUAUUGGUCAAGACAUUUUAUCUGAUUAUUCUUCUCUGAAGCUUAAUUUGUACAGCUGGCUAUUUUUAAAUGGCACAUACUUCUGCAUGGUAAGAAGGGAAAUUAAGGAAGAAAAUUAUCCCAAAAUGUUUCUUUCUAUCUAGUUAAUAGGCUCCAUGAGUAUUAUUUUAUUACAGCUAAUUCUAACAGGUAAUUUAGCAGGUUGCACUGACAACACAUCCUGCCACUCUGCCAGACACAGCAGUCCAAAUGCCCUGCCAACAGCUGGUGACAGCAGGAUUUCUCCAGGGGAGCAGAUCCAUCCAAAGGAGGGUGGGGAAAGACAAGCAGGAGCCCUCUGAGAUACCAGAAAUCAUCUUCCAGGCAAAGCCACAGAGGAAAUAAAGAGGGAAGGCAACCAAGAAUGAGGGGGAAGGCAAGGCCAGGCUGGGCAGCUGCCACAGCCCUCCUUCAGAGGAGGGGACAAGUGGCAAUGUAUGACCUGCUGACAGUGCCCCUUCACAUGACACAAACAGCCACAGGAAGUACAGGGCUCUAAAAAGCUAGAGGAAAAAAAUCUUCUAUAACCACACCAACCAAUUAUUAUUUCUUUUCUUCCUCCACGUCUGACGAUUUUUUGCAGCGCAUUAUUGAACGGGACGUUGCAAAACAGCACAAGGGGCAAGAUUCCAAAUUCAUCCAGUGGCUCUGUGCUUUCGGGCUUCACUCUGAGUAGGUAAACAAGGAGAAUAUAAUAGGUGGUAGAUGCAGAGCUGGAGUAGGCACAGCAAAAAGCAUCAAGGAAGCAAUGAAAAAAGCCCAUCAGAAAGCAAACCUGGGAAUCUGGAUCACUUGGAAAGCUGAGGAGGAUGGUGGUGACUUCUUGGGCUUGUUCAUUUGGCUUCCAGGAUGAACUUUUUGAUCUUCUGGUCAUUAAAUGAAUUUUGGUUUAUCUUGCACAGUAUCAAGCUCUGGAGUUCAGCAUUCUCACAGUAGACCCAUAGAAAAGACUUCAUAUGUGAGCAAAAGGCUUUGCAUGGCAAGAUGAUGACUGAAAGGACAUCAGACAGCAACAGGGUGUUUGCAUUUGUACAGCCACUAAAAAUAGUUACUUUUCCAUUUUAUCCCUGUGGCAGGCUAAGACUGACCCAACCAUCUGGCUAAACUCAACAGUGGAAAUUAUCCAGCUAUAGAGGCAUAGAACAGGAGGCCACACCCAUCACAUUCUGUGGUGUGACUGGCAGGAGGGUGCAGGAGAGCAAUUUCUCACAGGUAACACCCUCAGACAACCUGUAAGUCACAGGCAAUGACGUUUGACAGGUGAUAGGUUUGGUGUCACCUGUGGGGGAUGUUGUUACUCCACGGACAAGAAGGAUAGCUCAAAGUGCAUGCCUCGAAGGCCUCUCACUGAGGGGCUCCCAGAAAUUCAGCUCUCCUCAUCCACAAUGGUCUAAGGAUCACUCAAGAUCGAAACAGUCAUUCUUCCAGAGGUGUGGGGCUGGUGGUGAGGGUGCUCAAUCCCAGGGGCAUCACCCCAGCCCCAAGGGAAGGGCUUCCCACUGCAGACAUCUGCUCCAAUGAAAACCACACAAAAAGGGGGCUAUAACUGGUCUGGUCAGGGCUUGUGGACAUACAUGGUAAUGGUCCAGGAAUUCCUCUGGACUGAGGCUUUUUAUUACCUGGGGACCCUCUGUGCUGACCAAGGGGUCCUGCCCUCCUCAUCCCCCCCAUGAAGGCAGAGUUGGGGUCAUGGUGCACAUGAGGCAGAUGUGGGGUGGGGCUGUGAGGAACAAAAGUGAAAGGGCAUGAAAGGUUGGCAGCCACCUCAAACCAGCCAGGGAAUGGGGUGGGAUCCCCCUGACAGCCUGUCAUACCACCAGCUACAGUGGAACCCAGAAUCUGUAUUUCAGUGUUAGCCUAGAAAUAUAGAAGUCCCAGUAUAUAUUUCUACUCUUGAAAAUAUUCUUUUGUGGGUUAAGAUGGGCUUUCAUACACAGCUGUUCAAGAGAACCUUUUCUCUCCUCUCUGUCUGCAGCCUGAGCAAA
Molecule: long non-coding RNA, 2790 nt
Organism: Catharus ustulatus (Swainson's thrush)
Lineage: Eukaryota; Metazoa; Chordata; Aves; Passeriformes; Turdidae
Source: Ensembl